Molecule: ribosomal RNA, 443 nt
Filed under: uncultured bacterium
Lineage: Bacteria
Description: partial 16S ribosomal RNA
Rfam family: Bacterial small subunit ribosomal RNA
Source: RNAcentral
CCUACGGGGUGCAGCAGUGGGGAAUAUUGGACAAUGGGGGGAACCCUGAUCCAGCGACGCCGCGUGAGUGAAGAAGUAUUUCGGUAUGUAAAGCUCUAUCAGCAGGGAAGAAAGGAAUGACGGUACCUGACUAAGAAGCCCCGGCUAACUACGUGCCAGCAGCCGCGGUAAUACGUAGGGGGCAAGCGUUAUCCGGAUUUACUGGGUGUAAAGGGAGCGUAGACGGCAGUGCAAGUCUGGAGUGAAAGGCGGGGGCUCAACCCCCGGACUGCUCUGGAAACUGUAUGGCUGGAGUGCAGGAGAGGUAAGUGGAAUUCCUAGUGUAGCGGUGAAAUGCGUAGAUAUUAGGAGGAACACCAGUGGCGAAGGCGGCUUACUGGACUGUAACUGACGUUGAGGCUCGAAAGCGUGGGGAGCAAACAGGAUUAGAUACCCCAGUAGUC